CGGAGUGUAGCUCAGAUGGCUAGAGUGCGCGCUUCGGGUGCGCGAGGUCGCUGGUUCGAGUCCAGUCACUCCGA
RNAcentral lists this transfer RNA (74 nucleotides) under Minisyncoccota bacterium. RNAcentral describes it as "tRNA-Pro". It matches the Rfam family "tRNA". From Rfam's summary of the family: Transfer RNA (tRNA) molecules are approximately 80 nucleotides in length. Their secondary structure includes four short double-helical elements and three loops (D, anti-codon, and T loops). Further hydrogen bonds mediate the characteristic L-shaped molecular structure. tRNAs have two regions of fundamental functional importance: the anti-codon, which is responsible for specific mRNA codon recognition, and the 3' end, to which the tRNAs corresponding amino acid is attached (by aminoacyl-tRNA synthetases). tRNAs cope with the degeneracy of the genetic code in two manners: having more than one tRNA (with a specific anti-codon) for a particular amino acid; and 'wobble' base-pairing, i.e. permitting non-standard base-pairing at the 3rd anti-codon position. Lineage: Bacteria; Bacillati; Minisyncoccota. The record is from RNAcentral.